CAUAGGUUUGGUCCCAGCCUUCCUGUUAACUCUUAAUAAACUUACACAUGCAAGCAUCUACACCCCAGUGAGAAUGCCCUCUAGGUUAUUAAAACUAAGAGGAGCUGGCAUCAAGCACACACCCUGUAGCUCACGACGCCUUGCUUAACCACACCCCCACGGGAAACAGCAGUGACAAAAAUUAAGCCAUAAACGAAAGUUUGAC
Molecule: ribosomal RNA, 205 nt
Filed under: Bos taurus (domestic cattle)
Lineage: Eukaryota; Metazoa; Chordata; Mammalia; Artiodactyla; Bovidae
Description: partial 12S ribosomal RNA
Source: RNAcentral